This 646-nucleotide ribosomal RNA is filed under the name uncultured bacterium. Its description in RNAcentral is "bacterial SSU rRNA". It matches the Rfam family "Bacterial small subunit ribosomal RNA", at positions 8 to 660 of the family's 1533-position model. The record is from RNAcentral.
AGAGUUUGAUCCUGGCUCAGACGAACGCUGGCGGCGUGCUUAACACAUGCAAGUCGGACGGGGUAUGCGAGGAGCUUGCUUUGAGCAUACUUAAGUGGCGGACGGGUGAGUAACGCGUGAGGAUCUGUCCUAUACAGGGGGACAACAGAUGGAAACGUCUGCUAAUACCACAUAAGCCUAAGGGUAAAAGGAGAGAUUCGGUAUAGGAGGAACUCGCGUCCUAUCAGCUAGUAGGUGAGGUAACGGCUCACCUAGGCGAAGACGGGUAGCCGGCCUGAGAGGGCGAACGGCACACUGGAACUGAGAUACGGUCCAGACUCCUACGGGAGGCAGCAGUGGGGAAUAUUUGGGCAAUGGGGGAAACCCUGACCCAGCGACGUCGCGUGAGUGAAGAAAUCCCUCGGGAUGUCAAGCUCUGUUGUAACGGGAAGAGAAGCAGACGGUACCGUACGAGGAAGCCCCCGGCAAAACUUACGGUUGCCCCAAGCAAGGGCCCCCGGCGGGUAAUACGUAAGGGGGCAAGCGUUGUCCGGAAUUACUGGGCGUAAAGCAGCACGCAGGCGGCCAUCAGUCGGUUGUAAAAGGCAGUGGCUCAAUACUGUAAAGAAGGGCGAUACUUGAUUGAGCUAAGAGUAUUGUGAGAGGG